Molecule: long non-coding RNA, 304 nt
Filed under: Olea europaea (common olive)
Lineage: Eukaryota; Viridiplantae; Streptophyta; Magnoliopsida; Lamiales; Oleaceae
Description: long non-coding RNA (OEUR_LNC010278)
Source: RNAcentral
UCGCGUCCAAAUUAAGUAGGGAAGGAGUUUCAACCAAAACGAAAAACUACGCCCGAAAUUUCAAAAUUAACUAUGCGACCGCAUAGAAGGGAUCUAUGCGGUCGCAUAGAUCAUUUUUUUCUCUCAUUUAAUUCCCUAAAACCUUCUAUGCGACCGCAUAGAAGGUUACACUAUGCGGUCGCAUAGAAGUAGCCAUCUAUGUGGUUUGUGCAAUUUGGUCCCUGAACUUCUUUGUUGCUUCUCUUGACUUCUUUCUUCGAUUUCUUCAUCUUUUCAACAAUUCUUAUCUUCCAAUUGAUGAUCG